CACAGACUGUGUCACUAGGCUAUAUCCUUGAUGAAUGCACAGUCAGACUCAGAUAUCUGGUGCAACCUACCAAAACUUCAGAUGGGGCCACAGACACCUUUGGUGCAAUUGCUGGACACAGCCUUUUCUAUGUUCAACAAGCAGGGUCUGAGGAGAAACAAAAGAAAAAGACUAAGAAUAUAGCUGUUGGAGUUGGUAAUGCCUCAAACCCAC
This 213-nucleotide long non-coding RNA is filed under the name Fukomys damarensis (Damara mole-rat). Its description in RNAcentral is "lncRNA (ENSFDAG00000026977.1)". The record is from RNAcentral. Lineage: Eukaryota; Metazoa; Chordata; Mammalia; Rodentia; Bathyergidae.